UGCGUAGGCGGGGCAAUUAGUCAGUGGUGAAAUCCUGCGGCUUAACCGUAGAACUGCCAUUGAUACUGUUGCUCUUGAGUAUAGUUGAGGUGGGCGGAAUGUGCAAUGUAGCGGUGAAAUGCAUAGAUAUUACACAGAACACCAAUUGCGAAGGCAGCUCACUAAGCUAUAACUGACGCUGAGGCACGAAAGCGUGGGGAGCGAACAGGAUUAGAUACCCUGGUAGUC
Molecule: ribosomal RNA, 228 nt
Filed under: uncultured bacterium
Lineage: Bacteria
Description: partial 16S ribosomal RNA
Rfam family: Bacterial small subunit ribosomal RNA
Source: RNAcentral